RNAcentral lists this ribosomal RNA (253 nucleotides) under Tepidisphaera sp. RNAcentral describes it as "partial 16S ribosomal RNA". It matches the Rfam family "Bacterial small subunit ribosomal RNA", at positions 524 to 776 of the family's 1533-position model. The record is from RNAcentral. RNAcentral also lists the same sequence under 2 other names. Lineage: Bacteria; Pseudomonadati; Planctomycetota; Phycisphaerae; Tepidisphaerales; Tepidisphaeraceae.
UACAGAGGCCUCGAGCGUUAGGCGGAAUCACUGGGCUUAAAGCGCGUGUAGGCGGAUCGUUAAGUGUCUUGUGAAAUCCCACGGCUCAACCGUGGAACUGCUGGGCAUACUGGCGAUCUUGGGCCACUCAGGGGCAACCGGAACAAGCGGUGGAGCGGUGAAAUGCGUAGAUAUCGCUUGGAACGCCAAAGGUGAAGACAGGUUGCUGGGGGUGUGCCGACGCUGAGACGCGAAAGCCAGGGGAGCAAACGGG